RNAcentral lists this long non-coding RNA (1891 nucleotides) under Triticum aestivum (bread wheat). RNAcentral describes it as "long non-coding RNA (TAES_LNC017423)". The record is from RNAcentral. Lineage: Eukaryota; Viridiplantae; Streptophyta; Magnoliopsida; Poales; Poaceae.
UGUUGGCGCCGCCUCCUCGCAGCGCCGCGUCGUCUUCCUCCCUCUCGUUGCAUCUCACAACUCUCCUGAGGUUUCUCUCUUCUCUUCUCUCACAAACACACACAUGGUGAUGAACUCUACACACACACGCAUAUACACCAAGAAAGAACACACAGGCUUUGCCGAGACUCUCCCUUGGCACCCACAAGCACUACAUUGUUUUCUCAGCCCACACGGCCUCAUUUUCAUUCAACUCAAAGUAGUAUAUAUACACAAGCUUUAGGCUCCUGCCAUGCACUUCACGCACCACUAGAGCCACUACUCCACUAAUUUCUCCAUGAUCCACAUGACUCUGCAUGCAGCUAACUAACUUGACUCAGCUCGGUUACUACCUCCACCAAGCGAACUCUAUGCAGCUAACUAACCACACUGCAUGCAUGCUGACUAAACUGAUUCACCAAUUCCCUCGGCUAGUACUAGUACACCCUGUUGUCCUCAGCACUUGCACCACAGCUUCACGCAGCACGCACACUCGCCACGGCGCAGCGUCCCGCAUGUCCCGCGUGCACCUGACACGCCCGACGAGCCUGACCGCACCGCACGCCGUGGCUUAUUCCAACACAGACCCCCUAAGCCACGGCCUUGCCGUCCAUCCUGACAGGACUCCGACCUCUCAUCGACUGCCACGGAGAACGCCCUUCUUCACCUCCGGCGACACACGCCGCAGCUUCUCUUCCCGCCGCACUUACGCCGCCGGCCGCAACUACGGCCGAUUUCCUCAAGCACGAACUCGAGCCACACCUGUUACAACGCAUACGGGGGUUUCUUAGACCCUGGGGCGCGCCAGGGCACGUACCCUACGCCCCAGUCCACGCCGAGCGCCUAGUCCGGCCCGCUCUGCAGACUCCCGCGACAUGCACGCACACGUCCGGGUCGUGCGAGCCCGCCUAGGACCAACUCCACGCUCCCCCCGAUCUCGCCAACAGAACGCACACAAGCUGCACUCGUGCACGGACACGCCCGUGCACACCACACGCACGACCCGCCGUGGAUCCGACGCACCCAGCGCGCCUGGAGCGUGCCCAUACACGCGCCGGACGCGACAAGCUCGUCGCCAUGGUUGCUGUCGUCCGACGCCACCGUGUGUUUCCAGCACGAGCCGCCGCAGAUGUCGUGCAACGCGGCCACCUCGCCGGCCGCUAUCGCGCACCGCCGCCGAUGUAGCUACCUCCGCGCUGCGUCCCGUCCAGCGCCACUCACUGCCGCCGCCGAAACCCGCAGCUCCGUGCGCUGCCGUGCCGCGUCUCCGUGCCUCGCGCCACUAUGCCUCCACGGCCGUCGCGCCGAGCUGCCGCGGCCUCUGCGCAACCAUGCAGGUCCUCCGCGACUUCCUCGCCUCCGUGACCGCCGCUGCUCGUCGCGCGCACGGCAUCACGUCGCACCACCGCGGACUCAUCGCCUGUCGCAGUCGCCACGCGCGCUCCGCGACGCCACCGCGCGCCACGGCCGCCCCUCGAACUUGGCUCUGAAUACCAAAUAUUGGCGCCGCCUCCUCGCAGCGCCGCGUCGUCUUCCUCCCUCUCGUUGCAUCUCACAACUCUCUUGAGGUUUCUCUCUUCUCUUAUCUCACAAACACACACAUGGUGAUGAACUCUACACACACGCAUAUACACCAAGAAAGAACACACAGGCUUUGCCGAGACUCUCCCUUGGCACCCACAAGCACUACAUUGUUUUCUCAGCCCACACGGCCUCAUUUCCAUUCAACUCAAAGUAGUAUAUAUACACAAGCUUUAGGCUCCUGCCAUGCACUUCACGCACCACUAGAGCCACUACUCCACUAGUUUCUACAUGAUCCACAUGACUCUGCAUGCAGCUAACUAACUUGACUCAGCUCGGUUACUACCUCCAC